GCUUAACGCGAAGAACCUUACCAGGCCUUGACAUGCAGAGAACUUUCCAGAGAUGGAUUGGUGCCUUCGGGAACGUCUGACACAGGUGCUGCAUGGCUGUCGUCAGCUCGUGUCGUGAGAUGUUGGGUUAAGUCCCGCAACGAGCGCGAACCCUUGUCCUUAGUUGCCAGCACGUAAUGGUGGGAACUCUAAGGAGACUGCCGGUGACAAACCGGAGGAAGGUGGGGAUGACGUCAAGUCACCAUGGCCCUUACGGCCUGGGCUACACACGUGCUACAAUGGUCGGUACAGAGGGUUGCCAAGCCGCGAGGUGGAGCUAAUCUCACAAAACCGAUCGUAGUCCGGAUCGCAGUCUGCAACUCGACUGCGUGAAGUCGGAAUCGCUAGUAAUCGCGAAUCAGAAUGUCGCGGUGAAUACGUUCCCGGGUCUUGUACACACCGAGUCGUGGGAGG
This 453-nucleotide ribosomal RNA is filed under the name uncultured bacterium. RNAcentral's name for it is "bacterial SSU rRNA". It matches the Rfam family "Bacterial small subunit ribosomal RNA", at positions 954 to 1406 of the family's 1533-position model. The record is from RNAcentral.